GACGAACGCUGGCGGCGUGCUUAACACAUGCAAGUCGAACGGAAAGGCCCUGCUUUUGUGGGGUGCUCGAGUGGCGAACGGGUGAGUAACACGUGAGUAACCUGCCCUUGACUUUGGGAUAACUUCAGGAAACUGGGGCUAAUACCGGAUAGGAGCUCCUGCUGCAUGGUGAGGGUUGGAAAGUUUCGGCGGUUGGGGAUGGACUCGCCGCUUAUCAGCUUGUUGGUGGGGUAGUGGAUUACCAAGGCUUUGACGGGUAGCCGGCCUGAGAGGGUGAACGGCCACAUUGGGACUGAGAUACGGCCCAGACUCGUACGGGAGGCAGCAGUGGGGAAUAUGGCACAAUGGGAGGCAGCCUGAUGCAGCAACGCCGCGUGCGGGAUGACGGCCUUCGGGUAGUAAACCGCUUUCGCCUGUGACGAAGCGUGAGUGACGGUAAUGGGUAAAGAAGCACCGGCUAACUACGUG
Molecule: ribosomal RNA, 468 nt
Filed under: uncultured bacterium
Lineage: Bacteria
Description: partial 16S ribosomal RNA
Rfam family: Bacterial small subunit ribosomal RNA
Source: RNAcentral